UUGUGUGAUUUGUCGUUUGAGGUGGAGGAUCUUGCUUUGUGUGUUUAUGACAUUUGAGGGAGGAGCUACACGUUUGGUGUUUCUUGGUGGUGACUCGAGAUGAAGCCCGGUUGAAAGCUUGAAUCUGUGUCUGAGUCUAAGGGUCGAAGCGCAAUUGCUGGUUUCGGUGUUUGAAGUGAUGGGAGAAUGCGAGCUGCGGGCUGUUUGAUGCGGUAACUUUGGCUAUGGCGAAGCUUUAGCUUGGGGUGUCAAGAUUGUGAUUCUUGUUUGGAAGUGGGUUUGUCUUUGGUGGGGUUAGUAUUAGCUGCGGUCAUACAGAGCUUUCAAUUUGGAAGGGAGAAGUGAGUCUUCAGUGUCACUCUUCAGUGUCACACAAAUUGGUUCGUGCAUCCGACGAAAGUUGGUUCCCACAGAUAUGGUGCACCAUGAUGGUUCCAAGGUUCUGUAAAUAAGGUCCAGGUACACGCUUGUGUAGACCUUUCUUUUAACCUACUUGUGUCUAAUGAUAGGCUUCGAUAGUGCACCUUUGAGAACUAUAUCAAAAUACGAACGAGUACUGCGUCCAUGUUAAUGUAGUUGGUUGAGACAAAAGAACAGAAAUCAGUAGAGAGGCUGCAGUCAAGGCGCAAGUAGUGAUCUGUUCACAGUAGUCGGCGAUUCUAAUUGUACCGUCGGUAGGAAAAGCUGUUGGAAAUCAUGCUAGGAACCCCUCUCGCAUUUGGAUUGACCAUGAUUUUGUGCUUCACUCUAUUUUCCUACUACUAGCGCAUUCGGCAACUCCGAGCACACCUCCUGGCUGCCCAAUCUGCACCAUUCCAAGACGGCUUCCCCGUUAAAAUUGGAAUUGGGAAGCAAGUUGUAGAGACGUUUCCAACCGUCAAAGCAUGUGAGCUGAAGUGCACUGCUAGAGCAGACAUGCAGUGCCCGAUAUGCCUCGUGGAAUACGAAGAGUGGGAAGUUCUCCGGCAGUUACCCUUUUGCGGCCACAUCUUUCACCCUCUCUGCGUGGGUGCUUGGUUUGAGAAGCAAACAACUGUCCAGUCUGCCGCACGAGCAUGUCACAGUUUGCGAAACCAUUCGGCCAUCCUCUAGCUGCAGAGAACACACACCAUUGUAGAGUAGGGCGUCUCUCUUCGGAUGAUACGGUGGAGGCGGCCAGUGGCGACACUCCGUCCUGGAUAAUGGUCAACUACCGUCUCUCGUUGCAUGACCAGUGUUGCCUGCAGCGGAAACCACUAAAAGUACUCACAUUUGCAUUUACUCAUGUGGGAUUCCGAAUGAAAAUGGAGGAACUCAGCCUAAGACUGAUCGACUUAUCAGGGAGUCGUAAGUACGUGCAGUUAGAUGUUAGAGAGAAGAAAUGAGCUGCGCACAUUUUCAUGCAGUGAACAUACCACAAGAGCGGCGAGAAUGCAUGUGUUUCAAAUGCAAUCACAAGACGAAGCCGGUCAAAACUGCCACUUCUGAUUAUUUGUACUCAAGGGGCGCAUUUGAAUCUCUGCAUGAACAGGGAGAUAUUCAAAUUCUGGUUAUUCAACGAAGCAUUUUGACAAGAACAGGGGAAAGCAAUGUAAAUGAGCAUGGUUUAGCUGUAGGAGAGAUAACCAAUCCUCUGGAAACAAGUACAGUAUAAGAUGGUAGGAACACAAUAUGUUACUGUGGUGGAGCUGACUCUGUAAGUGGACCUCAUUCUAAAGCCGAUUCUAGUCUAAAUUAUAGAGAAAGCAAUAUGCCAAAAGACGUACACAUCCUGUCAGGCACUCUCGAAGGGUUCAUCGAAUUUCAUACCGUUCUAAUGCAAAACGGUGAAUUAACAAUCAGAACAACGACCUCGUGACGUAAGAAUCACAAUGUGUGCUCCCGCUAAAAAUAUGCCAAACGGACGUGUGCGAUCACUACAUACUAAGCACCUUUGAAAGUUUCGCAAUAGCUUGCAAUUCUGAUGUCAUACAAUGAAAACGACAAUUUCCAGCUCA
Physcomitrium patens is the source of this 1976-nucleotide non-coding RNA. NCBI's taxonomy places the organism in Eukaryota, Viridiplantae, Streptophyta, Bryopsida, Funariales, Funariaceae. The record is from RefSeq and is a predicted model, not a curated record.